UACGUAGGGUCCGAGCGUUGUCCGGAAUUAUUGGGCGUAAAGGGCUCGUAGGCGGUUCGUCACGUCGGGAGUGAAAACUCGGGGCUUAACCCCGAGCCUGCUUCCGAUACGGGCAGACUAGAGGUAGGCAGGGGAGAGCGGAACUCCUGGUGUAGCGGUGGAAUGCGCAGAUAUCAGGAAGAACACCGGUGGCGAAGGCGGCUCUCUGGGCCUUACCUGACGCUGAGACGCGAAAGCGUGGGGAGCGAACCGG
RNAcentral lists this ribosomal RNA (253 nucleotides) under uncultured bacterium. Its description in RNAcentral is "partial 16S ribosomal RNA". It matches the Rfam family "Bacterial small subunit ribosomal RNA", at positions 524 to 776 of the family's 1533-position model. The record is from RNAcentral.